This 2238-nucleotide ribosomal RNA is filed under the name Salmonella enterica. RNAcentral's name for it is "partial 23S ribosomal RNA". It matches the Rfam family "Bacterial large subunit ribosomal RNA", at positions 711 to 2925 of the family's 2925-position model. Lineage: Bacteria; Pseudomonadati; Pseudomonadota; Gammaproteobacteria; Enterobacterales; Enterobacteriaceae. RNAcentral also lists the same sequence under 2 other names. The record is from RNAcentral.
AGACCCGAAACCCGGUGAUCUAGCCAUGGGCAGGUUGAAGGUUGGGUAACACUAACUGGAGGACCGAACCGACUAAUGUUGAAAAAUUAGCGGAUGACCUGUGGCUGGGGGUGAAAGGCCAAUCAAACCGGGAGAUAGCUGGUUCUCCCCGAAAGCUAUUUAGGUAGCGCCUCGUGAAUUCAUCUCCGGGGGUAGAGCACUGUUUCGGCUAGGGGGCCAUCCCGGCUUACCAACCCGAUGCAAACUGCGAAUACCGGAGAAUGUUAUCACGGGAGACACACGGCGGGUGCUAACGUCCGUCGUGAAGAGGGAAACAACCCAGACCGCCAGCUAAGGUCCCAAAGUCAUGGUUAAGUGGGAAACGAUGUGGGAAGGCCCAGACAGCCAGGAUGUUGGCUUAGAAGCAGCCAUCAUUUAAAGAAAGCGUAAUAGCUCACUGGUCGAGUCGGCCUGCGCGGAAGAUGUAACGGGGCUAAACCAUGCACCGAAGCUGCGGCAGCGACACUGUGUGUUGUUGGGUAGGGGAGCGUUCUGUAAGCCUGUGAAGGUGUGCUGUGAGGCAUGCUGGAGGUAUCAGAAGUGCGAAUGCUGACAUAAGUAACGAUAAAGCGGGUGAAAAGCCCGCUCGCCGGAAGACCAAGGGUUCCUGUCCAACGUUAAUCGGGGCAGGGUGAGUCGACCCCUAAGGCGAGGCCGAAAGGCGUAGUCGAUGGGAAACGGGUUAAUAUUCCCGUACUUGGUGUUACUGCGAAGGGGGGACGGAGAAGGCUAUGUUGGCCGGGCGACGGUUGUCCCGGUUUAAGCGUGUAGGUGUGUGUUCCAGGUAAAUCCGGUUCACUUUAACACUGAGGCGUGACGACGAGGCACUACGGUGCUGAAGCAACAAAUGCCCUGCUUCCAGGAAAAGCCUCUAAGCAUCAGGUAACACGAAAUCGUACCCCAAACCGACACAGGUGGUCAGGUAGAGAAUACCAAGGCGCUUGAGAGAACUCGGGUGAAGGAACUAGGCAAAAUGGUGCCGUAACUUCGGGAGAAGGCACGCUGACACGUAGGUGAAGUGAUUUACUCACGGAGCUGAAGUCAGUCGAAGAUACCAGCUGGCUGCAACUGUUUAUUAAAAACACAGCACUGUGCAAACACGAAAGUGGACGUAUACGGUGUGACGCCUGCCCGGUGCCGGAAGGUUAAUUGAUGGGGUCAGCGCAAGCGAAGCUCCUGAUCGAAGCCCCGGUAAACGGCGGCCGUAACUAUAACGGUCCUAAGGUAGCGAAAUUCCUUGUCGGGUAAGUUCCGACCUGCACGAAUGGCGUAAUGAUGGCCAGGCUGUCUCCACCCGAGACUCAGUGAAAUUGAACUCGCUGUGAAGAUGCAGUGUACCCGCGGCAAGACGGAAAGACCCCGUGAACCUUUACUAUAGCUUGACACUGAACAUUGAGCCUUGAUGUGUAGGAUAGGUGGGAGGCUUUGAAGCGUGGACGCCAGUCUGCGUGGAGCCAACCUUGAAAUACCACCCUUUAAUGUUUGAUGUUCUAACGUGGACCCGUAAUCCGGGUUGCGGACAGUGUCUGGUGGGUAGUUUGACUGGGGCGGUCUCCUCCUAAAGAGUAACGGAGGAGCACGAAGGUUGGCUAAUCCUGGUCGGACAUCAGGAGGUUAGUGCAAUGGCAUAAGCCAGCUUGACUGCGAGCGUGACGGCGCGAGCAGGUGCGAAAGCAGGUCAUAGUGAUCCGGUGGUUCUGAAUGGAAGGGCCAUCGCUCAACGGAUAAAAGGUACUCCGGGGAUAACAGGCUGAUACCGCCCAAGAGUUCAUAUCGACGGCGGUGUUUGGCACCUCGAUGUCGGCUCAUCACAUCCUGGGGCUGAAGUAGGUCCCAAGGGUAUGGCUGUUCGCCAUUUAAAGUGGUACGCGAGCUGGGUUUAGAACGUCGUGAGACAGUUCGGUCCCUAUCUGCCGUGGGCGCUGGAGAACUGAGGGGGGCUGCUCCUAGUACGAGAGGACCGGAGUGGACGCAUCACUGGUGUUCGGGUUGUCAUGCCAAUGGCACUGCCCGGUAGCUAAAUGCGGAAGAGAUAAGUGCUGAAAGCAUCUAAGCACGAAACUUGCCCCGAGAUGAGUUCUCCCUGAGACUUAAAGUCUCCUGAAGGAACGUUGAAGACGACGACGUUGAUAGGCCGGGUGUGUAAGCGCAGCGAUGCGUUGAGCUAACCGGUACUAAUGAACCGUGAGGCUUAACCUU